CAGUAGCCGCGGUAAUACGUAGGUGGCAAGCGUUAUCCGGAAUUAUUGGGCGUAAAGCGCGCGUAGGCGGUUUUUUAAGUCUGAUGUGAAAGCCCACGGCUCAACCGUGGAGGGUCAUUGGAAACUGGAAAACUUGAGUGCAGAAGAGGAAAGUGGAAUUCCAUGUGUAGCGGUGAAAUGCGUGGAGAUGUGGAGGAACACCAGUGGCGAAGGCGACUCUCUGGUCUGUAACUGACGCUGAGGAGCGAAAGCGUGGGGAGCGAACAGGAUUAGAGACCCCUGUAGUCCCUGUCUCUUAUAC
This 301-nucleotide ribosomal RNA is filed under the name uncultured bacterium. RNAcentral describes it as "partial 16S ribosomal RNA". It matches the Rfam family "Bacterial small subunit ribosomal RNA", at positions 509 to 807 of the family's 1533-position model. The record is from RNAcentral.